AAUCCCGUGAACCAUCGAGUUUUUGAACGCAAGUUGCGCCCGAAGCCUUCGGGCCGAGGGCACGCCUGCCUGGGCGUCACGCAUCGCGUCGCCCCCUUCACCCCGUCCUCGUAGGCGGGGGGGCGGAGAUUGGCCUCCCGUGCGCUCCAGGCGUGCGGCCGGCCC
RNAcentral lists this ribosomal RNA (165 nucleotides) under Dicliptera skutchii. RNAcentral's name for it is "5.8S ribosomal RNA". The stretch from base 1 to 79 matches the Rfam family "5.8S ribosomal RNA", at positions 78 to 154 of the family's 154-position model. Lineage: Eukaryota; Viridiplantae; Streptophyta; Magnoliopsida; Lamiales; Acanthaceae. The record is from RNAcentral. RNAcentral also lists the same sequence under 1 other name.